RNAcentral lists this transfer RNA (73 nucleotides) under Solirubrobacteraceae bacterium. RNAcentral's name for it is "tRNA-Thr". It matches the Rfam family "tRNA". Rfam says of the family: Transfer RNA (tRNA) molecules are approximately 80 nucleotides in length. Their secondary structure includes four short double-helical elements and three loops (D, anti-codon, and T loops). Further hydrogen bonds mediate the characteristic L-shaped molecular structure. tRNAs have two regions of fundamental functional importance: the anti-codon, which is responsible for specific mRNA codon recognition, and the 3' end, to which the tRNAs corresponding amino acid is attached (by aminoacyl-tRNA synthetases). tRNAs cope with the degeneracy of the genetic code in two manners: having more than one tRNA (with a specific anti-codon) for a particular amino acid; and 'wobble' base-pairing, i.e. permitting non-standard base-pairing at the 3rd anti-codon position. The record is from RNAcentral. RNAcentral also lists the same sequence under 3 other names. Lineage: Bacteria; Bacillati; Actinomycetota; Thermoleophilia; Solirubrobacterales; Solirubrobacteraceae.
GCCCAGUUAGCUCAGCUGGUAGAGCACUUCCAUGGUAAGGAAGGGGUCGCCGGUUCGAGUCCGGCACUGGGCU